UACGGAGGGUGCGAGCGUUGUCCGGAAUCACUGGGCGUAAAGGGCGCGUAGGCGGCGCGGGCAGUCAACGGUGAAAGCUCGGGGCUCAACCCCGAGUCGGCCGUCGAUACUCCCGUGCUCGAGCACUGUAGAGGCAGGUGGAAUUCCGGGUGUAGCGGUGGAAUGCGUAGAGAUCCGGAAGAACACCGGUGGCGAAGGUGGCCUGCUGGGCAGUAGCUGACGCUGAUGCGCGACAGCGUGGGGAGCAAACAGG
RNAcentral lists this ribosomal RNA (253 nucleotides) under uncultured bacterium. RNAcentral's name for it is "partial 16S ribosomal RNA". It matches the Rfam family "Bacterial small subunit ribosomal RNA", at positions 524 to 776 of the family's 1533-position model. The record is from RNAcentral.